AUGUUUAUAGCCCCUAAAACAUGGGCUCGCCAUUUUGACUCUCUCCUCCCUCCCGUUUCGCACGCAACAAAAAAGCAGGCAGGCCCUCAAACACCGGGGGAGGGCUGGCCGGCGGCUGGAGGCUCUGGAUCGUCCGCCUGUUUGUCCACGACUCGAGGUGCUUUCUUCUUCAUUUUCUCUAGAGGGGUUGAUCAAUGGAUUCGUGGACUUGCUUUUGCUACACUGGCCGCUGAUUGCCAUCCUCUCCUCAUUUUUCUUCUUGUUUUUCCCCGCUCAAGAAGCACCCGCCAUCUGUUCGACGGAAUGCGCAAGAAGAAGCCCGCCGCGAGCAGCAAGAAUCGCUUCGGCGACCUGCCCGACGACCUCCUCCGGCACGUGUUGUCCUUUCUGCCGGCGGGUGAUGCCCUGCAGACCUGCGUGCUCGACACCAGGUGGCGCGACCACUGGAGUUUCCCGAGCUUGGAACGUUUCAAACAGAUCGUCAAGCUCUUCAUCCACCUCCGUGGAAACUCACCUCUCGCAAUAUUGAUCGAUUUAUGCGACACACCAUUGACGGUCCAUCGCUCGCGGGUCAGUGGACGGCCGGAGGUGGCCAUGCCUCACGGCUCAUAUCCUGACCGAAGAUCGCAGGUGGAGGACAGGAGUCGCUCGCGGCUCGCCGGACAGCCGGAGGUGGCCCUGUCUCACGCCUCACGCCCUGGCCAAAGAUCGCAGGCGGAGGACAGGAUGAGGCUGUGGCGGAGGGAGAAAAGGCUGUUGAUCGAGUAUGCUCUAAAGUGCCAAGUAAAGGAACUCCUAGUCGGCAUUGAUGUUGAUGAUGAUGACGGUGAUUUUGACGAUGACAACAACCCACUAAAACUCGAUGUGUUUCUUAUCUCCCAGCACUUGAAGACCCUGCACCUUAAAUUGGUUAACCUCAAACGUUUCGCUCUGGAUUUGUCGAGCUGCCCAGCAUUAGAGGAUCUAGAGAUGCAACAUUGUGACAUUGAUGCUCGCAGGAUAUCUUCCAAAUCACUACAACGGCUAUGCAUUACCGACAUUUGUUCCUUCCCCGCAGACUUCCGUGUUCGGAUAUUUGCCCCUGGUCUUAUCUCACUGCACCUUUAUGGUUUUAGGGGAUUGACCCCUUCAUUUGAAUACAUUCCAUUACUAGAAACAGCUUAUGUUUGGGUUGACUAUGGGUGCAAUGAUUCUUGUCGUAGUAACCAGCAGGGUUGUGAGCUUGAGAAAUGUGGUUGUCAUGCUUAUCCCAUUGACGAGGGCGUGCUUCUCCAUGGUUUAUCCGAUGUUGCGAAUUUGGAGUUGCUAGCUGAUAAUAGUACUGUUUCCUGGGACAGUCAUGAAAUUGAAGUGUCUAUCUACAGAUGGGAUUUAAAAUGUUGUCCCAUAUUUGACAAACUGAAGCCUCAGUUGCUCAAUGAGUGGUUUACGACUAGUGGCCUAGCGUGCAUUCUCCGACACUCUCCAAUUCUUGAGAUGCUCACUCUUCAGCUUAAUAAAACUAAGGUUGUCAACAUUGAAUGUAAAAAGGUUGAUGAGAGAAUCCGCAAAAUUUUGAAGACCUUGAGUGCAUGUGUCAUACUUCAUGAGCAAAUUAGCAUCACGGAGCAAUGUCCUUACUCAUGCCGUGGUGGGAGGGUUUUAGUUUUGAGAAGCCUCCUCGGCCCCUGCUUCGUCCUACUGCGGAACCAGACGCAUGCUCCAGUUUCCACCCUUGAUGGCGCUAGAUAUGCGGUGAUGGUUGUGCUCCGGCUCACGGUCCUUCUUGAAGAUGUUGUCUUGGAGUUUGGUUGCAAGUUCUACUGUUGCUUGCCGCGGAAUGCCAGGGCGACAUGUUGCAGAGAACAUUUUAGUGGUAGUUGUCUGCAGCUCGUCGGAGAAGCUCACUGGAGAGGCUCAUCGACGUGCUUGCCGGUGCUAAGCACGGGCGGCGGCGAUUGGAGGAGCACGAUGUGUAGCUCGCCAGAGAAAGCUCGCCGGCGUGCUAGUCAGCAGCGAGCACCAAUGGCGGCAGUCGAAGCAGCACGGAGAGGCAGCGACUCGACGAGAUCUCGAGGCAGUCGGAGCAACAUUUGGAGGCGUACUCGACACCCUGCAGACCUGCGUGCUCAACACCCGGUGGCGCGACAUCUGGAGGCGUAUCACCAACCUGCUCCUAGUUCUUGA
Molecule: ribosomal RNA, 2166 nt
Filed under: Triticum aestivum (bread wheat)
Lineage: Eukaryota; Viridiplantae; Streptophyta; Magnoliopsida; Poales; Poaceae
Description: partial small subunit ribosomal RNA
Source: RNAcentral